CACAAAUAUGAAAGCAGACCCUCAUUGGGGCGUAACGUCACGUGCCGCAAUAGCGUCAUGCUGUGUGCUACGGCAAUAGGGCGGGUCAUUGCUGGUUGGUGGCUGGUACGGUCUGGCGGUGGGGGUAACGCCCUUUUGGGCCAGUCUGACUCCAUAUUCACCCAUGUCUUUUGCGUACUACUUGUUUCCUUGGCGGGUUCGCCCGCCAAUUGGACCCAAUUAAACCUUUUUUGUAAUUGCAAUCAGCUGUCAGCAAAACAAUGUAAUAAAUUA
RNAcentral lists this unclassified non-coding RNA (273 nucleotides) under soil metagenome. RNAcentral describes it as "partial internal transcribed spacer 1". The record is from RNAcentral.